Molecule: long non-coding RNA, 954 nt
Filed under: Equus caballus (horse)
Lineage: Eukaryota; Metazoa; Chordata; Mammalia; Perissodactyla; Equidae
Description: lncRNA (ENSECAG00000039676.3)
Source: RNAcentral
CCCCGCGCCGCGCGCCCUCCCGCGCGCCCACCCGGGCCCCGCCCGCGCCCCGGACGGCGCCCCCGCCGGAGGGCCCAGGUAACCGGCCGCCCAGGGGGCCUCGGCGCCUCCAGCACCCGUCCCCCCAGGUGCUGACGAGUCUCACGUUCGCUGCCGGCUGGGAGGGGAGGCUGGCCACGGCGAGGGGAGGCUCAUUUCGGCCGCGCCAAGUUCCCGUUCCGUCCGGGGUCGCGGCGGGCGUCCCGGCCGGGCUCGCGGUGCGCGCGUGCACCCGCCGCUCAGGCCCCGCGGUCCUCCCGGCGCCGCGGCUCAGAACGCGGCCCCCACGGACUGGACGCAAGGCAGGGUAGCGGGGACCUCGGGAAUGGAUAGAGAAGGAAAUUCAGAUGUGCCAGAAUCAGGGUUAGCCCCAGUCCGACUACCCGCCAAGCUCCAGGCCCAUCUUCUGCUGAGCAUGUUCUCUGGUUCCUUGUGGAUGGCUCAGCAUCAACCUGUCACAGCUGCUCAUCACUGCUAAGCUGAGUGCCGUUGACAGUAUGUCAGCCUUAUGAUUAUAUAUGAAGGACAACACGUCACCUCAAUGCACUUAAGUCUUUUCUUUAUCUGAUGUGAAGAUCAUACAUAUAAUUUCCUGUGCGGCUCUCAGUAUCUCCAAGACCUAGGAUGCUCCUUGAGAGGUAUGAUACUAUUUUGAGGCUGGAAGUGCUCUUUCUGAUUCUCCUCUUCUCACCGCUGCUGGUCCUCUUGUGCCCCUGGCCCUGAGGAUUACUGUGAGCUCAGCCUUCCAAAGAGUUGUAAAAAGGGAAGACCUGAUGUAAGAAGAGGAGACAACUCUGACAAUCUGGAUAAUAUGGUAUUUAGGCCUUUCUGGCCUGCAGCCCCAUCUCUGUCGUAGAGGGUCCGUGGAGGCCGGGAGCAGUGACUGGAGAGAGGGGCUCCUACAAGUUGGCUGCU